RNAcentral lists this ribosomal RNA (399 nucleotides) under Pleurothecium recurvatum. RNAcentral's name for it is "partial small subunit ribosomal RNA". It matches the Rfam family "Eukaryotic small subunit ribosomal RNA", at positions 30 to 432 of the family's 1831-position model. Lineage: Eukaryota; Fungi; Ascomycota; Sordariomycetes; Pleurotheciales; Pleurotheciaceae. The record is from RNAcentral.
GCUUGUCUCAAAGAUUAAGCCAUGCAUGUCCAAGUAUAAGCAAACACAAAGUGAAACUGCGAAUGGCUCAUUAUAUAAGUUAUCGUUUAUUUGAUAUUGCCUAUCCUACAUGGAUAACAGUGGUAAUUCUAGAGCUAAUACAUGCUGAAAAUCCCGACUCACGAAGGGACGUAUUUAUUAGAAUCAGAACCAAUGCCCUUCGGGGUUCCUUGGUGAAUCAUGAUAACUCCACAGAUCGCAUGGCCUUGCGCCGGCGAUGGCUCAUUCAAAUUUCUUCCCUAUCAACUUUCGACGGUACGGUAGUGGCCUACCGUGGUUGUAACGGGUGACGGAGGGUUAGGGCUCGACCCCGGAGAGUACGCGAGAGUAUCGGCGUACACAUCCAAGGAAGGCAGCAGG